GAUGAACGCUGGCGGCGUGCCUAAUACAUGCAAGUCGAGCGAACAGACGAGGAUCUUGCUCCUCUGACGUUAGCGGCGGACGGGUGAGUAACACGUGGAUAACCUACCUAUAAGACUGGGAUAACUUCGGGAAACCGGAGCUAAUACCGGAUAAUAUAUUGAACCGCAUGGUUCAAUAGUGUAAGACGGUUUUGCUGUCACUUAUAGAUGUAUCCGCGCCGCUUUAGCUAGUUGGUAAGGUAACGGAUUACCAAGGCAGCGAUGCGUAGCCGACCUGAGAGAGGGGACGGCGAGACUGGAAGUGAGAGAGAGGCCAGACUCCGACGGGAGGAAGCAGUAGAGAAUCUUCCGAAAUGGGCGAGAGGUUGACGGAGCAACGCGGGGUAAGUGAUGAAGGAAUUGGGAUGGGAAAACUCUGUUAGUAGGGAAAAAGAAAUGUGUAAGUAACUAUGCACGUAAUGACGGAACCUGAUCAAAAAGCCACGGCUAACUACGUG
RNAcentral lists this ribosomal RNA (497 nucleotides) under uncultured bacterium. RNAcentral's name for it is "partial 16S ribosomal RNA". It matches the Rfam family "Bacterial small subunit ribosomal RNA", at positions 28 to 507 of the family's 1533-position model. The record is from RNAcentral.